AUCCCUUGGCAAUGGGCAAAGAGAUGCCUUAUUGGUGGUGAUGGUCUUAUAUCAAUCAGGGGCAGAGCAGAUGAUAAUCCUUUGUUUAUCUUGCUUGAUGCCUGGCUUGGUGGCCAAUGGUGUUUUAUGUGUAGGACUUGUAA
Molecule: small nucleolar RNA, 143 nt
Organism: Apodemus sylvaticus (European woodmouse)
Lineage: Eukaryota; Metazoa; Chordata; Mammalia; Rodentia; Muridae
Product: small nucleolar RNA SNORA48
Exons: 1
Source: RefSeq, a predicted model, not a curated record